Molecule: long non-coding RNA, 1019 nt
Organism: Python bivittatus (Burmese python)
Lineage: Eukaryota; Metazoa; Chordata; Lepidosauria; Squamata; Pythonidae
Source: RefSeq, a predicted model, not a curated record
GUCGCGCUGCGCUUUUGCGCCGGGCGAUCCGGCUUGGCCGCCCUGCGUCGGGUCUCGCAGGUCGGGUCGAUCGCCCCCGAGGUCCUCGCGCUGCGCACGGAGAAGAGCAGCGCGGGCACCCCAGCCGCAGAGCCGCCUCCGCGAAGCGCGUUCCCAGCUCUCCGAAGGAGGCCGAGCAGGGGCCGAGAGCAGCGCGAGGGGCGUCUCGCUGGGCUCAGGCGCCGGGCGCGCAAAGCGGGGCGCCCCUCCUGCUUAGGACGUGGGAGCGGCGGGGCGGAAAAGCAGCCGAGGGAUGAAGUCCGUAUUAGGCCACCCAAAUGUCCCAGAAAGAGGUGGAGAGCAAACCUCGGAGUUCUCCAGAACUUUUCAUCAAGCAGAUGAUACAGCAGGAGGAGGAAAGUGAAGUCUGUUGGCGCAGAAUUACUCUCCUUUGCCGCUGAAGAGGUGCCGGCACACGGAUUUGGCUGGUGGCUGGCUCUUUCUCCACCAAGGCCCCCCUCCCUGGUGCACCGCCACCUCAAGGCCACCACCUUCGGGGGGCUAAGAGCCAAGAACACCCAGCUGGGUUUGAUUCCAGGGUUCUUGCCAAGAAUACUGAAAUCAAGGAUGCAGAGUCCUCAGGAUAUGAGGUAUUUCCCACACUUCUGAUAGUUUCAGUCCGAGGAAGAAGCGAUGCUGUUGGACUCAGCUGGGAGUGGAACCCACCUGUGCUGUUCCAGCUUGGCAUGGAGAAAGUCUCAGGACCAGGGGCAUCCACGGGGCGGGGGGGGUGCCACAAAAGCCAAGAUGGCGGCUGCAGCCACAUGACUGGCGGGGCUUCGGUCCCAUGGCUGCAGCUGCCGUGUGUUCUUUGGGGUACCCCCUCCUGCCGGUGCCCCUGUUUAGGACUGAUUCUUGGCCUCUCCGUGCAAAGAUGAGAAAAACACCUCUCUGAAAUGUUCAAGAGCCAUUGCAGUUCACUGGCUUGGAUCACACAGCCUGCUGAAUCAUGGUUGAUUUAAUAAAUUAUCGUUGCUUGG